UUUAUUAUGGCAGACUAGUGCUAUGAACUUAAGAUUCAUGUAUGAAAUUAUUUUCUUUUAAAA
This 63-nucleotide transfer RNA is filed under the name Metisotoma macnamarai. RNAcentral describes it as "tRNA-Leu". The record is from RNAcentral. Lineage: Eukaryota; Metazoa; Arthropoda; Collembola; Entomobryomorpha; Isotomidae.